UCUUACUAUACUGCAGCCAGUAAAAACAUUUUAGGAAGCUGAGAAAAAAAUAUUCCUUUCGCAGACCCCUUUAUGACUGAGCUUUAGGCUGGGCAUAGAGCAGGAUUGGGGAGAAGGAGGAGUGAAUGGCAUGUUGAGCCAGGAACACAGAUGGUUAUGUGGGAUUCAUCAGAAGUUGGAUCAGGUGGCACAAAUCUGUUUGAUUUGAGUUGGUUGCCAUUUCAUUGGCUGCUUCACACAAAAUUCAGGAAGAAGCCCUCUGAAAGGGAAUGGGUCACAGGUAAAUUUCUUUACUUCCCCCUUUCUUAUAUAGCAAAUGUUGGCAUUCCUUCACUGUUACACAACUUUGAUGGGAGAACUGUGAGCAUCAAUGACUUCCUCUGUUACAUCUAGCCUUGGGUGGUUAGGCUUAGAGAAAGGGGAUCACAGCUGAGCAGUAGCAGGGAACUGCACCAGAGCUGCUGAAUGAAAAUUGAUUGUCUUAGCCAAUAACUAUUAAAAAGGGGUAGCAUCAAUUUACUUUUGUUUAGGAGUUUUAUUCAAGCAAACUGAUAGCUGAAUUCUGAAGGAAGGGUGAAGGGCUCGGCUUUUGUUCAGCUGGCAUGGCUCGGUGUCAUUCCAGUUCCUGGAAGAUUACAGAUUAGUGUGAACAAGGUUACCUCACAAAGUUUUACCUCUCUACCUUAGGCCAACUCAAAGAAAGUUGAAAAUUCCAGUUUCUACCUAGAAAUUCAAAAUAUAAAACGUGGUGAAGUUCAGCUGCCUGUUGCAGUUGGGCCCUGGCUUUGCUCAGGGCCCUGUGGCUGUUGGAUCCUUCAGCAGGCCCAGCCGUUCCUCUGUGCUGGCCUGGCAGCAAGCUGUUUGGACGGCAUGGCGGGGGAGUGGAUAAUUUUAAUUUCUGCCCCUUAAAUUGUUCAGGAAACGGUUCAUUGGAUCACUGGAAACAGCCCUGCAGAGACAAUGAAAAUAAGGAAAGUCUGUUGUGUUUCAUAAAGAGAGGAUUGAAUGUCCUGAUAAGCUUCAUUAAGACAUUUUGGUGCCAACGCCCCUGUUUUAUUUCAGCGAUUCAGUCUACUAUUUUAAAAUGCUGUGAGUUUUUCCACUUCUGUGUAAUUUCUGGUCAUUUACUGAAGACAAGUGGAGUCAUAUUGCCCCCAGCAGGGAAAGUGCAGAAUAUAGUUCCAUUGUAUUUAUAUCAAACCCAAAGCAUAGAGCUGGAUUCAGGGAACAUUUGUUGGCAGAGCAAUUAUGGGGGGCAAAUAUAAAUGUGACGUGAACAACCAAUCUGCAUGUAACAUAUUUCAAUAAGCAAAUUUACUUUUUCCUUCUUUUUGAAACUUUACAGAUUGUUUCAGUAUGCACAGCAGUAGUUCACAUAACUGCUAGAAAAAUAGAAAAAAACUGAUUUUACUCUCUAAAGUAUGUUUUUAAUAUUGAAC
Molecule: long non-coding RNA, 1439 nt
Filed under: Anser brachyrhynchus (Pink-footed goose)
Lineage: Eukaryota; Metazoa; Chordata; Aves; Anseriformes; Anatidae
Description: lncRNA (ENSABRG00000000994.1)
Source: RNAcentral